Molecule: ribosomal RNA, 497 nt
Filed under: uncultured bacterium
Lineage: Bacteria
Description: partial 16S ribosomal RNA
Rfam family: Bacterial small subunit ribosomal RNA
Source: RNAcentral
GAUGAACGCUGGCGGCGUGCCUAAUACAUGCAAGUCGAGCGAACAGACGAGGAGCUUACUCCUCUGACGUUAGCGGCGGACGGGUGAGUAACACGUGGAUAACCUACCUAUAAGACUGGGAUAACUUCGGGAAACCGGAGCUAAUACCGGAUAACAUGUUGAACCGCAUGGUUCAACAGUGAAAGACGGUCUUGCUGUCACUUAUAGAUGGAUCCGCGUCGCAUUAGCUAGUUGGUAAGGUAACGGCUUACCAAGGCAACGAUGCGUAGCCGACCUGAGAGGGUGAUCGGCCACACUGGAACUGAGACACGGUCCAGACUCCUACGGGAGGCAGCAGUAGGGAAUCUUCCGCAAUGGGCGAAAGCCUGACGGAGCAACGCCGCGUGAGUGAAGAAAGUCUUCGGAUCGUAAAACUCUGUUAUUAGGGAAGAACAAAUGUGUAAGUAACUAUGCACGUCUUGACGGUACCUAAUCAGAAAGCCACGGCUAACUACGUG